CCCUUAGAUGUUCUGGGCCGCACGCGCGCUACACUGACGGAGCCAACGAGUCUUUUCCUUGUCCGGAAGGACUGGGUAAUCUUGUGAAACUUCGUCGUGCUGGGGAUAGAUCAUUGCAAUUUUUGAUCUUGAACGAGGAAUUCCUAGUAAGCGCGAGUCAUCAGCUCGCGUUGAUUACGUCCCUGCCCUUUGUACACACCGCCCGUCGCUACUACCGAUUGAAUGGUUUAGUGAGGACUCCUGAUUGGCGCCGCCGCCCCGGCAACGGAGCAGCGGACUGCCGAAAAGUUGUUCAAACUUGAUCAUUUAGAGGAAGUAAAAGUCGUAACA
RNAcentral lists this ribosomal RNA (330 nucleotides) under uncultured eukaryote. RNAcentral describes it as "partial 18S ribosomal RNA". It matches the Rfam family "Eukaryotic small subunit ribosomal RNA", at positions 1470 to 1796 of the family's 1831-position model. The record is from RNAcentral.